GGCAUUGCCCUAGUAACGGCGAGUGAAGCGGCAACAGCUCAAAUUUGAAAUCUGGCGCAAGCCCGAGUUGUAAUUUGUAGAGGAUGCUUCUGGGUAGCGACCGAUCUAAGUUCCUUGGAACAGGACGUCAUAGAGGGUGAGAAUCCCGUAUGUGACCGGCCCGCACCCUUUACGUAGCUCCUUCGACGAGUCGAGUUGUUUGGGAAUGCAGCUCUAAAUGGGAGGUAAAUUUCUUCUAAAGCUAAAUACCGGCCAGAGACCGAUAGCGCACAAGUAGAGUGAUCGAAAGAUGAAAAGUACUUUGGAAAGAGAGUUAAAAAGCACGUGAAAUUGUUGAAAGGGAAGCGCCUGCAACCAGACUUCGCGGCAGUGUUCCGCCGGUCUUCUGACCGGUUCAUUCUCUGUCGCGAGGCCAUCAUCGUCUGGGCCCGCCGGAUAAGACCUGAGGAAUGUGGCUCCCCCUCGGGGGAGUGUUAUAGCCUCUGGUGAUGCGGCGUGGCUCGGGCGAGGUCCGCGCUUCGGCAAGGAUGAUGGCGUAAUGGUUGUCGGCGGCCCGUCUUGAAACACGGACCAAGGAGUCUAACAUCUAUGCGAGUGUUCGGGUGUCAAACCCCUACGCGUAAUGAAAGUGAACGGAGGUGGGAACCGCAAGGUGCACCAUCGACCGAUCCUGAUGUCCUCGGAUGGAUUUGAGUAAGAGCAUAGCUGUUGGGACCCGAAAGAUGGUGAACUAUGCCUGAAUAGGGUGAAGCCAGAGGAAACUCUGGUGGAGGCUCGCAGCGGUUCUGACGUGCAAAUCGAUCGUCAAAUUUGGGUAUAGGGGCGAAAGACUAAUCGAACCAUCUAGUAGCUGGUUCCUGCCGAGC
RNAcentral lists this ribosomal RNA (866 nucleotides) under Cercospora gossypii. RNAcentral describes it as "eukaryotic LSU rRNA". It matches the Rfam family "Eukaryotic large subunit ribosomal RNA", at positions 71 to 966 of the family's 3401-position model. Lineage: Eukaryota; Fungi; Ascomycota; Dothideomycetes; Mycosphaerellales; Mycosphaerellaceae. The record is from RNAcentral. RNAcentral also lists the same sequence under 1 other name.